UACGUAGGGGGCGAGCGUUGUCCGAAGUUACUGGGCGUAAAGCGCGCGUAGGCGGCUCUUUAAGUCCGGCGUGAAAGGUUCAGGGCUCAACCCGAACAGUGCGCUGGAGACUGGAGAGCUUGAGGAUGGGAGAGGGAAGCGGAAUUCCGGGUGUAGCGGUGAAAUGCGUAGAUAUCCGGAGGAACACCGAUGGCGAAGGCAGCUUCCUGGCCCAUAUCUGACGCUGAGGAGCGAAAGCGUGGGGAGCGAACAGG
Molecule: ribosomal RNA, 254 nt
Filed under: uncultured bacterium
Lineage: Bacteria
Description: partial 16S ribosomal RNA
Rfam family: Bacterial small subunit ribosomal RNA
Source: RNAcentral